AGAGUUGCGUAGGUGGCUUGUAAAGUGAAUAGUGAAAUCUGGGGGCUCAACCUCACAGGCUAUUAUUCAAACUCACAAGCUCGAGAAUGAUAGAGGUAACUGGAAUUUCUGAAGUAGGGGUAAUAUCCGUAGAUAUCAGAAGGAACACCAAUGGCGUAGGCAGGUUACUGGAUCAUUUCUGACACUGAGGCACGAAAGCGUGGGGAGCGAACCGGAUUAGAUACCCCUGU
This 230-nucleotide ribosomal RNA is filed under the name uncultured bacterium. RNAcentral describes it as "partial 16S ribosomal RNA". It matches the Rfam family "Bacterial small subunit ribosomal RNA", at positions 564 to 791 of the family's 1533-position model. The record is from RNAcentral.